UACGUAGGGUGCAAGCGUUGUCCGGAAUUAUUGGGCGUAAAGAGCUCGUAGGCGGCCUGUUGCGUCCGCUGUGAAAGCCCGGGGCUUAACCCCGGGUCGGCAGUGGAUACGGGCAGGCUAGAGGUAGGUAGGGGAGAAUGGAAUUCCCGGUGUAGCGGUGAAAUGCGCAGAUAUCGGGAGGAACACCAGUGGCGAAGGCGGCGAUCUGGGCAGAUACUGACGCUGAGGUGCGAAAGCGUGGGGAGCAAACAGG
RNAcentral lists this ribosomal RNA (253 nucleotides) under uncultured bacterium. RNAcentral describes it as "partial 16S ribosomal RNA". It matches the Rfam family "Bacterial small subunit ribosomal RNA", at positions 524 to 776 of the family's 1533-position model. The record is from RNAcentral.